RNAcentral lists this ribosomal RNA (302 nucleotides) under uncultured bacterium. Its description in RNAcentral is "partial 16S ribosomal RNA". It matches the Rfam family "Bacterial small subunit ribosomal RNA", at positions 508 to 807 of the family's 1533-position model. The record is from RNAcentral.
GCAGUCGCCGCGGGAAUACGUAGGGUGCAAGCGUUGUCCGGAAUUAUUGGGCGUAAAGAGCUCGUAGGCGGUUUGUCGCGUCUGCUGUGAAAUCCCGAGGCUCAACCUCGGGCUUGCAGUGGGUACGGGCAGACUAGAGUGCGGUAGGGGAGAUUGGAAUUCCUGGUGUAGCGGUGGAAUGCGCAGAUAUCAGGAGGAACACCGAUGGCGAAGGCAGAUCUCUGGGCCGUAACUGACGCUGAGGAGCGAAAGCGUGGGGAGCGAACAGGAUUAGAUACCCGCGUAGUCCCUGUCUCUUAUAC